UGGGGAAUAUUGGACAAUGGGCGAAAGCCUGAUCCAGCCAUGUCGCGUGUGUGAAGAAGGUCUUCGGAUUGUAAAGCACUUUAAGUUGGGAGGAAGGGCAGUAAGUUAAUACCUUGCUGUUUUGACGUUACCAACAGAAUAAGCACCGGCUAACUUCGUGCCAGCAGCCGCGGUAAUACGAAGGGUGCAAGCGUUAAUCGGAAUUACUGGGCGUAAAGCGCGCGUAGGUGGUUUGGUAAGAUGGAUGUGAAAUCCCCGGGCUCAACCUGGGAACUGCAUCCAUAACUGCCUGACUAGAGUACGGUAGAGGGUGGUGGAAUUUCCUGUGUAGCGGUGAAAUGCGUAGAUAUAGGAAGGAACACCAGUGGCGAAGGCGACCACCUGGACUGAUACUGACACUGAGGUGCGAAAGCGUGGGGAGCAAACA
This 427-nucleotide ribosomal RNA is filed under the name uncultured bacterium. RNAcentral's name for it is "partial 16S ribosomal RNA". It matches the Rfam family "Bacterial small subunit ribosomal RNA", at positions 355 to 774 of the family's 1533-position model. The record is from RNAcentral.